UACAGAGGGGGCAAGCGUUGUUCGGAAUUACUGGGCGUAAAGGGCGCGUAGGCGGCCUUCUAAGUCAGACGUGAAAUCCCUCGGCUCAACCGGGGAACUGCGUCUGAGACUGGAAGGCUUGAAUUCGGGAGAGGGAUGUGGAAUUCCAGGUGUAGCGGUGAAAUGCGUAGAUAUCUGGAGGAACACCGGUGGCGAAGGCGGCAUCCUGGACCGACACUGACGCUGAGGCGCGAAAGCUAGGGGAGCAAACGGG
RNAcentral lists this ribosomal RNA (253 nucleotides) under uncultured bacterium. RNAcentral's name for it is "partial 16S ribosomal RNA". It matches the Rfam family "Bacterial small subunit ribosomal RNA", at positions 524 to 776 of the family's 1533-position model. The record is from RNAcentral.